UUCUCAAUUUAUUUUGUAAAAUUCUUAAUAAAGAAUAAUCUCUCCUUCUUUCCACAUAUUAAGGUGCAGCUCAAAAGAAGAUGAUGGCUACCAGAAGAACAUGAACAAAGGGUAAGUGGCAUUAAACUUCCGAAGAACCUUUAUGUGCUUAUUGACCCAUGCCCAGGAGGCACACCGGGCUGUGACACCACUGGAGACAGAGCCAUCUUCUGCAGUAUGUCUAAAGCUGUAACUCGGGUGGAGGAUGUUGGGCAGCAGCAGUUGCAAUCAAUAAAGUACGCUUAAAACUUACUUUGCCUCCUGUCUUCUAUUGUAUGGCAUUUAUAUUGCUUACAAAUGCCAUAACGCAAAGCUGCUAAAUAUAUGAGCAAUUUUUAAAUACACUAAAAGCAAAAUACAGUUAUUUGAAUGGGGUUAGGUAUUAGGUAUUAAAGAAUCUGUGGAAAAAGUCUUCUUGAAUAUGUGUAAAAACGGAGCUGUUGUCUUUUGUUAAGUUGCCCCUCCUGGUUCUGGAAGCCCUGUGAGUGCCAAAGAAUUCAUGUGGAUUUUGCUUUGAUUUUCCUUUGUCUUUUUUUUUUUUUUAAAAAUGUUUUAUAGGGAGG
This 602-nucleotide long non-coding RNA is filed under the name Calidris pugnax (ruff). RNAcentral's name for it is "lncRNA (ENSCPUG00000001970.1)". Lineage: Eukaryota; Metazoa; Chordata; Aves; Charadriiformes; Scolopacidae. The record is from RNAcentral.